This 820-nucleotide ribosomal RNA is filed under the name uncultured Desulfomicrobium sp. RNAcentral describes it as "bacterial SSU rRNA". It matches the Rfam family "Bacterial small subunit ribosomal RNA", at positions 35 to 842 of the family's 1533-position model. The record is from RNAcentral. Lineage: Bacteria; Pseudomonadati; Thermodesulfobacteriota; Desulfovibrionia; Desulfovibrionales; Desulfomicrobiaceae.
GCCUAGGGGGCGUGCUACCAUGCAAGUCGUACGAGAAAGGGGCUUCGGCCCUGAGUAGAGUGGCGCACGGGUGAGUAACGCGUGGGUAAUCUACCCUUGGAUUUGGGAUAACUCUGCGAAAGUGGAGCUAAUACCGGAUAGUCUGGCUUUAAAUAAGAAGUCGGUAAAGGAUGCCUCUGCAUAUGCAUUCGUCCGAGGAUGAGCCCGCGUCUCAUUAGCUAGUUGGUAGGGUAAUGGCCUACCAAGGCAACGAUGAGUAGCUGGUCUGAGAGGAUGAUCAGCCACACUGGAACUGAAACACGGUCCAGACUCCUACGGGAGGCAGCAGUGGGGAAUAUUGCGCAAUGGGCGAAAGCCUGACGCAGCAACGCCGUGUGAGGGAUGAAGGCUUUCGGGUCGUAAACCUCUGUCGGAAGGGAAGAACGGGCAUUGGUCUAAUAGGCCUUUGUUUUGACGGUACCUUUAGAGGAAGCACCGGCUAACUCCGUGCCAGCAGCCGCGGUAAUACGGAGGGUGCAAGCGUUAUUCGGAAUUACUGGGCGUAAAGCGCACGUAGGCGGCCUUGUAAGUCAGGGGUGAAAUCCCACGGCUCAACCGUGGAACUGCCUUUGAAACUGCAGGGCUUGAAUCCUGGAGAGGGUGGCGGAAUUCCUGGUGUAGGAGUGAAAUCCGUAGAUAUCAGGAGGAACACCGGUGGCGAAGGCGGCCACCUGGACAGGUAUUGACGCUGAGGUGCGAAAGUGUGGGGAGCAAACAGGAUUAGAUACCCUGGUAGUCCACACCGUAAACGAUGGAUACUAGUGUCGGGGACUUGAUCUUC